Molecule: ribosomal RNA, 253 nt
Filed under: uncultured bacterium
Lineage: Bacteria
Description: partial 16S ribosomal RNA
Rfam family: Bacterial small subunit ribosomal RNA
Source: RNAcentral
UACGAAGGGGGCUAGCGUUGCUCGGAAUUACUGGGCGUAAAGGGCGCGUAGGCGGAUAGUUCAGUCGGGGGUGAAAGUCCAGGGCUCAACCCUGGGAUGCGGGUGGAUACUGCCGAGCUCGAGUCCGGAAGAGGCGAGUGGAAUUCCUGGUGUAGCGGUGAAAUGCGCAGAUAUCAGGAGGAACACCAAUGGCGAAGGCAGCUCGCUGGGACGUGACUGACGCUGAGACGCGAAAGCGUGGGGAGCAAACAGG